AUUGCAGUCUGCAACUCGACUGCAUGAAGUCGGAAUCGCUAGUAAUCGCGGAUCAGCAUGCCGCGGUGAAUACGUUCCCGGGCCUUGUACACACCGCCCGUCACACCAUGAGAGUCGGGAACACCCGAAGUCCGUAGCCUAACCGCAAGGGGGGCGCGGCCGAAGGUGGGUUCGAUAAUUGGGGUGAAGUCGUAACAAGGUAAC
RNAcentral lists this ribosomal RNA (204 nucleotides) under uncultured bacterium. RNAcentral's name for it is "partial 16S ribosomal RNA". It matches the Rfam family "Bacterial small subunit ribosomal RNA", at positions 1297 to 1500 of the family's 1533-position model. The record is from RNAcentral.